GGCGUCUUUCGCCGCGGCGGGGCUCGACCGCUGACGGAAGUGAUCGUCGGUUACAUCGACCAGCACAAGGACCGUCUUGGGGUCGAGCCGCUCUGCGAGGUCCUGCAGGUCGCCCGG
Molecule: regulatory RNA element, 117 nt
Organism: Cellulomonas carbonis T26
Lineage: Bacteria; Bacillati; Actinomycetota; Actinomycetes; Micrococcales; Cellulomonadaceae
Rfam family: ALIL pseudoknot
Source: Rfam